This 295-nucleotide ribosomal RNA is filed under the name uncultured bacterium. Its description in RNAcentral is "partial 16S ribosomal RNA". It matches the Rfam family "Bacterial small subunit ribosomal RNA", at positions 775 to 1067 of the family's 1533-position model. The record is from RNAcentral.
GGAUUAGAUACCCUGGUAGUCCACGCCGUAAACGAUGUCUACUAGUUGUCGGUUGUCUUGUACGACUGGUAACGCAGCUAACGCGAUAAGUAGACCGCCUGGGGAGUACGGUCGCAAGAUUAAAACUCAAAGGAAUUGACGGGGACCCGCACAAGCGGUGGAUGAUGUGGAUUAAUUCGAUGCAACGCGAAAAACCUUACCUACCCUUGACAUGGCAGGAAUCCUUGAGAGAUCAGGGAGUGCUCGAAAGAGAACCUGCACACAGGUGCUGCAUGGCUGUCGUCAGCUCGUGCCG